Molecule: transfer RNA, 72 nt
Filed under: Bos taurus (domestic cattle)
Lineage: Eukaryota; Metazoa; Chordata; Mammalia; Artiodactyla; Bovidae
Also listed under: 5 other names
Rfam family: tRNA
About the family: Transfer RNA (tRNA) molecules are approximately 80 nucleotides in length. Their secondary structure includes four short double-helical elements and three loops (D, anti-codon, and T loops).
Source: Rfam by way of RNAcentral
UCCCUGAUAGCACAGUUGGUAAAGAGUCUGCCUGCAAUGCAGGAGACCCAGGUUCAAUUCCUGAGUUGGGAA